This 250-nucleotide ribosomal RNA is filed under the name uncultured bacterium. RNAcentral's name for it is "partial 16S ribosomal RNA". It matches the Rfam family "Bacterial small subunit ribosomal RNA", at positions 355 to 622 of the family's 1533-position model. The record is from RNAcentral.
UCGGGAAUAUUGGACAAUGGGGGCAACCCUGAUCCAGCAAUACCGCGUGUGUGAAGAAGGCCUGCGGGUUGUAAAGCACUUUUAGUAGGGAAGAUAAUGACGUUACCUACAGAAAAAGCACCGGCUAACUCCGUGCCAGCAGCCGCGGUAAUACGGAGGGUGCAAGCGUUAAUCGGAAUUACUGGGCGUAAAGCGUGCGUAGGCGGCUCUUUAAGUCGGAUGUGAAAUCCCCGGGCUCAACCUGGGAACU